AGAUUGAACGCUGGCGGCAGGCCUAACACAUGCAAGUCGAGCGGCAGCACGGGUACUUGUACCUGGUGGCGAGCGGCGGACGGGUGAGUAAUGCCUAGGAAUCUGCCUGGUAGUGGGGGAUAACGCUCGGAAACGGACGCUAAUACCGCAUACGUCCUACGGGAGAAAGCAGGGGACCUUCGGGCCUUGCGCUAUCAGAUGAGCCUAGGUCGGAUUAGCUAGUUGGUGAGGUAAUGGCUCACCAAGGCGACGAUCCGUAACUGGUCUGAGAGGAUGAUCAGUCACACUGGAACUGAGACACGGUCCAGACUCCUACGGGAGGCAGCAGUGGGGAAUAUUGGACAAUGGGCGAAAGCCUGAUCCAGCCAUGCCGCGUGUGUGAAGAAGGUCUUCGGAUUGUAAAGCACUUUAAGUGGAGGAAGGCAUUUACCAAUACGUAAGUGUUUGACGUUACGACAGAAUAAGCACCGGCUAACUCUGUGCCAG
Molecule: ribosomal RNA, 486 nt
Filed under: uncultured soil bacterium
Lineage: Bacteria
Description: bacterial SSU rRNA
Rfam family: Bacterial small subunit ribosomal RNA
Source: RNAcentral